ACGCUCGACACCUACGGGAGGGCAGCAGUGGGGAAUAUUGCACAAUGGAGGAAACUCUGAUGCAGCGACGCCGCGUGAGGGAAGAAGGUCUUCGGAUUGUAAACCUCUGUUGUCAGGGACGAUGAUGACGGUACCUGACGAGGAAGCCACGGCUAACUACGUGUCAGCAGCCGCGGUAAUCUGAGGCGGGCUGGACGAAGGC
This 202-nucleotide ribosomal RNA is filed under the name uncultured bacterium. RNAcentral describes it as "partial 16S ribosomal RNA". It matches the Rfam family "Bacterial small subunit ribosomal RNA", at positions 328 to 538 of the family's 1533-position model. The record is from RNAcentral.